UCCGUAGGUGAACCUGCGGAGGGAUCAUUACAGAGUUGCAAAACUCCCUAAACCAUUGUGAACGUUACCUAAACCGUUGCUUCGGCGGGCGGCCCGGGUCCUUCCCGGCGCCCCUCGGCCCUCGCGGGCGCCCGCCGGAGGUAAACCAAACUAUUGCAUUGUACGGCCUCUCUGAGUCUUCUGUACUGAAUAAGUCAAAACUUUCAACAACGGAUCUCUUGGUUCUGGCAUCGAUGAAGAACGCAGCGAAAUGCGAUAAGUAAUGUGAAUUGCAGAAUUCAGUGAAUCAUCGAAUCUUUGAACGCACAUUGCGCCCGCCAGUAUUCUGGCGGGCAUGCCUGUUCGAGCGUCAUUUCAACCAUCAAGCCCCGGGCUUGUGUUGGGGACCUGCGGCUGCCGCAGGCCCUGAAAUGCAGUGGCGGGCUCGCUGUCACUCCGAGCGUAGUAGUUACAUCUCGCUCUGGGCGUGCUGCGGGUUCCGGCCGUUAAAAGCCUUAUUUACCCAAGGUUGACCUCGGAUCAGGUAGGAAGACCCGCUGAACUUAAGCAUAUCAAUAAGCGGAGGA
RNAcentral lists this ribosomal RNA (566 nucleotides) under Humicola fuscoatra. Its description in RNAcentral is "eukaryotic LSU rRNA". The stretch from base 199 to 352 matches the Rfam family "5.8S ribosomal RNA". The record is from RNAcentral. Lineage: Eukaryota; Fungi; Ascomycota; Sordariomycetes; Sordariales; Chaetomiaceae.